RNAcentral lists this long non-coding RNA (1118 nucleotides) under Jatropha curcas. RNAcentral's name for it is "long non-coding RNA (JCUR_LNC000847)". The record is from RNAcentral. Lineage: Eukaryota; Viridiplantae; Streptophyta; Magnoliopsida; Malpighiales; Euphorbiaceae.
CCCAUGCCUCUGCUACCUGAGGAUCAACACAGCUGCUCGAAGUUUCGGGUUCGAGCUGGUGAUAAUUGUUGGAAUCCUGAUAGCUGGAUUGUUUGCUGCCAUUGUAGGUACAUACACUUCUAUCAAACAAAUAAUAAACCAUCUCUGAGACUGUGCAGAUGGAAUUUAAGAUCAGCAAAAAUAAAGUAAUUGUUUUGCAUGUCCAAGAAUUGCAUAAAAUCAAUAAAUCAGAAAACAAAAUACAAAAUACUGCAUAUCUUCAUUAUAAUUUCUGAUUUCCAGGAUAUAGCAGUUUCUGCACAUUUUCUGUGCAGCUAAUCUUAAAAACUGCAUGGAUAGCAAUUAACUGGUCUUAAUGCUUCACUGGUCUAAUAUAUGGUCUAUCAUAAGAUCAAUUAACUUAACAUAAUACUCCAAAUAAAUCAAGUAUUUGAUAUUUUUAUCACAAUCACCUAUCUCAAAAUAAUACUCUACAAAGUCUCAACUUAACCAUAGAACAGAAUUUUUUUUUUAUUAUUUUUUUUUUAUCACACACUUAUUAUACAGAUUGUAUCCUUCUCACAAUCAUCUAUCUCCAGGUAAUAUCUUGUAAAUUCACUUGUCUAUAAUACAUAAACUUUCAUCAAUCACAUAUCCCAAAAUGUAAAACACAAUUUAAUUCUAAACAUGGAGAUUUUAUUAAUCACUUAUAUUGUACAUAUCAUUUCCUUAUCUCUUAUUUACCUAAUUUGCUUAACAUUUAAGAAUUGAAUUCUCCAUAAUAUGUAGGGUAUUACUGCAAACCUUGCUAGACCUAUACAUUUAAAAGAAAUUCUUCAAUCAUCACAUAACUUAACACGAAUCUAAACAUUAAUGAAGACAAACACAGCAAGACAAUAGUUUUCCUAUACACUCUUGCUUAUAAACUGAUAACUUACUCGAUACUGUAGUCCUUUGCUCCGAUACCACCUCUGUCACAUCUCUAUUUUUGGGGUGUGACAGUAACAAGGUAGCUGACUUCCUAGCCAAUAUGGCAAUUACAGCAGGUCCCAGCAUGUGAUUCUCCCUUUUAGUUGCAGUCUCUUCUGUGGGAUGAUUUGCAAGGCAUGGCAUGGCCACGGGUUAUCAGACUUUAGUUU